GACCAACCGUGAAUCUGUUAUAAUACUUCGGAUGGCUCGGUGUUCAACUCCUUGACCUCCCUUGUGUUGGUAGGGGCUGCCACAUUGUGCGCUCCCCUCCCAACCAAACCCAAACCCCGGCACUGAAUGUGCCAAGGAAUUAAAAUCUGUUCAGUGUGCCUCUGUGGGUACCGGAGACGGUGCUGUCGCAGGAGGUGUGAUGCAUGAUAUUAUAUAAACGACUCUCGGCAACGGAUAUCUAGGCUCUUGCAUCGAUGAAGAACGUAGCGAAAUGCGAUACUUGGUGUGAAUUGCAGAAUCCCGUGAACCAUCGAGUUUUUGAACGCAAGUUGCGCCCGAAGCCAUUAGGUUAAGGGCACGUCUGCCUGGGCGUCACAUAUUGUUGCCCAAUGCCUAUUGAUGGCACUGUGCAGGGCGAAUGUUGGCUUCCCGUGAGCACUUUUGUCUCAUGGUUGGCUGAAAACCAGGUCCUUGGUAGAGUGUGUGCCAUGAUAGAAGGUGGUUGUGUGACCCACGAGACCGAUCAUGUGUAGCUCUACCAGAUUUGGACUCUAUGACCCAUUAGUGUCCUUGAUGCUCAUGA
This 583-nucleotide ribosomal RNA is filed under the name Onobrychis pulchella. Its description in RNAcentral is "eukaryotic LSU rRNA". The stretch from base 220 to 375 matches the Rfam family "5.8S ribosomal RNA". Lineage: Eukaryota; Viridiplantae; Streptophyta; Magnoliopsida; Fabales; Fabaceae. The record is from RNAcentral.